RNAcentral lists this ribosomal RNA (2262 nucleotides) under Triticum aestivum (bread wheat). Its description in RNAcentral is "partial small subunit ribosomal RNA". The record is from RNAcentral. Lineage: Eukaryota; Viridiplantae; Streptophyta; Magnoliopsida; Poales; Poaceae.
AUGGAUUCCAGCGGGGAGGAGCUCCUGAAGAAGAUCCGGCAGCUGGAGGUGGGCCAGGCGCAGCUCAAGCAGGAGAUGUCCAAGUUCGCGCUGCCGCCGACCGGCGGCGGAGGGGAGCGCCGGCGCUCGCAGUCCGUCUCGCCCAGCCGCGGCGCGCCGCCUCAUCCUGCGCCGGCGCCGGCGCCCUCGAGGCGGCUCUCCGGGGGGCUUGAUGGAGGCCAGCGGGGGUGGGGCCGUGGCUCCGCGUCCUUCUCGCACUCGUCGCCGCUGCAGCGGGAAGGCCGUGCGGCGGCGGAAGGCGGCGCCACGGGCGCUGGGCUGGCGGAGCGGCAGUACCGCAGGGUGCUCCAGUCGCUGGGGCAGUCCGUCCACAUUCUUGACCUCGAUGGAAGGAUCAUAUACUGGAAUCGGUCUGCAGAGAAUCUCUAUGGUUAUCCUGCAUCAGAAGUACUUGGUCAGGAUGCACUCAUGCUGCUGGUUGAUUCCCGUGACCUCAGUGUGGUAAAUGAUAUGUUUCGACGUAUUUCUUUGGGUGAGAGUUGGACUGGGAAGUUUCCAGUUAAGAACAAGGCAGGGGAUAGGUUUUUAGCUGUUGGCACCAACACUCCAUUUUAUGAUGAGGAUGGCAGUUUGGUGGGCAUUAUUUGUGUUUCAAGUGAUUCACGCGCAUUGGAGGAGAUACUCAGUGGACCUUCAACCUCUGCAAGGUCCCAUUCAGAAUCAUCUAGCCCCUCCUGUUGUGAUGGCAGUUGCAGCAACAGUAAUCGAAAAACCAGUUUGUUGAACAGAAAUCCGUUUGAUCCCCAGCAGUCUACUAUAGCCUCCAAGAUAACAAAUUUGGCUAACAAGGUUACAAAUAAAGUUCGUUCGAGGGUCAAGAUGGAUGAGAAUGGCAUGGUACGGGAAGGUGGCAGUGGUGAGAGUCAGUGCUCUGAUCGUGAUAACAAGGAAGGUCCAUCUAGUGGACCAAGUACACCAAGAGGAGAUGCACCACAUGGUGCCUUCGGCACGGAAGAGAAUUCCCCUGGGAAAUCAACCAAAACAAACGGUGAUGAAUCAGAAGCGAAAAUAGGUCUCCACAAGAUGUUGAGUUCAAAAGCAGAGGCAUUGUUGAACAAGAAAGGGAUAACAUGGCCUUGGAAAGGGCGGGAGAAUGAUGUGCCUGAUUGCAGAAAUCAGGUGACCUUGCCAUCAUUGCAUAGUGAGCAAGAGAAUGGCCAGAAUCAUCCGAAAGUCUCUGACACUCAAUUGGCUGAAUAUAACCAACCUAACAAAAAUGAGGCAUCAGGUUCCUGGUCUUCUUUCAACAACAACAGCUCAAGUAGUGCAAGCAGCACUGGAAGUACCAAUAGUAGUGCUCUAUACAAAAUCGACCAUGAAGCAGACUGUCUGGAUUAUGAAAUCCUGUGGGAAGAUCUUGUAAUUGGAGAACAAGUAGGCCAAGGCUCCUGUGGGACAGUAUACCAUGCUUUGUGGUAUGGCUCGGAUGUGGGUGUGAAAGUUUUCUCCAGGCAGGAAUAUUCGGAGGAAGUGAUACAGGCCUUUCGACAAGAGGUAUCCCUUAUGAAGAAAUUACGCCAUCCUAAUAUACUGCUCUUCAUGGGUGCGGUUACAUCUCCACACCGCCUUUGUAUUGUUACCGAGUUCCUCCCACGUGGAAGUUUAUUUCGCUUACUUCAAAGAAGCACUACCAAGUUGGAUUGGAGACGACGUGUUCACAUGGCUUUAGAUGUUGCAAGGGGCAUGAAUUAUCUUCAUCACUAUAGCCCACCUAUCAUUCAUCGAGAUUUAAAGUCGUCAAAUCUGCUGGUGGAUAAGAACUGGACUGUUAAGGUUGCAGAUUUUGGUCUUUCACGUCUCAAGCGUGAAACUUAUCUGACAACAAAAACAGGAAAAGGAACGCCACAAUGGAUGGCUCCGGAGGUAUUGCGCAAUGAACCUUCAGAUGAGAAGUCUGAUGUGUAUAGCUAUGGGGUGAUCCUAUGGGAACUUGUCACUCAGAAGAUACCGUGGGAAAAUCUCAAUUCAAUGCAGGUCAUUGGUGCAGUAGGUUUCAUGAACCAAAGGUUGGAGAUUCCCAGUGAAACAGAUCCUUACUGGACAUCACUUAUACUCAGUUGUUGGGAAACCGACCCACAAAGCCGUCCGUCGUUCCAAGAACUUCUGGAGAAGCUCAGGGAACUGCAAAGGAAGUACGCGGUCCAGAAUCAGGUGCAGCGAAAUGCAUCUGCCGCUGCGAAGAACAGCAUCAUCGAGGAAUGA